CGCCAGACUCCUACGGGAGGCAGCAGUGGGGAAUAUUGCACAAUGGGGGAAACCCUGAUGCAGCGACGCCGCGUGAGCGAUGAAGUAUUUCGGUAUGUAAAGCUCUAUCAGCAGGGAAGAAGAUGACGGUACCUGACUAAGAAGCCCUGGCUAACUACGUGCCAGCAGCCGCGGUAAUACGUAGGGGGCAAGCGUUAUCCGGAUUUACUGGGUGUAAAGGGAGCGUAGACGGCGAUGCAAGCCAGAUGUGAAAGCCCGGGGCUCAACCCCGGGACUGCAUUUGGAACUGUGUGGCUGGAGUGUCGGAGAGGCAGGCGGAAUUCCUAGUGUAGCGGUGAAAUGCGUAGAUAUUAGGAGGAACACCAGUGGCGAAGGCGGCCUGCUGGACGAUGACUGACGUUGAGGCUCGAAAGCGUGGGGAGCAAACAGGAUUAGAUACCCUCGUA
This 446-nucleotide ribosomal RNA is filed under the name uncultured bacterium. RNAcentral's name for it is "bacterial SSU rRNA". It matches the Rfam family "Bacterial small subunit ribosomal RNA", at positions 329 to 792 of the family's 1533-position model. The record is from RNAcentral.